GGCCGCCUGGCGAAAUGGCAUCGCGUCUGACUACGAUGUUGUGAACACGUAUGACGAAUGUAAUCAGGAGAUUGCAGGUUCGACCCCUGCGGUGGUCA
Mycena epipterygia is the source of this 98-nucleotide non-coding RNA. The record is from the annotation of a GenBank genome assembly. NCBI's taxonomy places the organism in Eukaryota, Fungi, Basidiomycota, Agaricomycetes, Agaricales, Mycenaceae.